Molecule: non-coding RNA, 1186 nt
Organism: Oryza sativa Japonica Group (Japanese rice)
Lineage: Eukaryota; Viridiplantae; Streptophyta; Magnoliopsida; Poales; Poaceae
Source: RefSeq, a predicted model, not a curated record
CCGGUCGCCGUCGCCAUUGUCGAUUCCGCCUCCUCCGUUCUUGGAGCUGAUUGAGCCAUCGCCGUUCACCCGGAGGUUCUUGCCGCCGCCGAGCCGUUACAUGAGCCGCCGUCAUCAACCUAGCUACCCCAGCCAUGUCUAGCAUCUCGGUGAGCACCCUUCAGCCUAUAGAACAUACAUGCAUGCACCCAAUUAACCAAUACAUGAUUGUAGAAGCACAUGCAUCACCACCCGAAAACAUCCUCCUUUCGGACUCGCCGCCGGCGUUACUCCGAUGUCCACUGACCAAGAAAAGUAGAGGAAUGGAAUCGCAAUAUCAUGAUCUUCAUUUUGUCUUUUGGUCGCACCCCCAAACGAGCCAUCGUUUGUCGCCGGUGAGCUCGAGAUCGAGCUCAGCCAUGGCUGUUCUGCCUCUGUGCGUGAGAAAAGAAGUCAGGGACCUUGUUUCGAGAAUUUAAACAACUAUAAGGUUUAAUGUGCAACUUUUCAACUCACUGACAUAUGAGCCUAGGUCUGCGGGUUGAUUCUUAGAAACCGCAGGGAUCUUUUUGUAUAUUGAUCUCUCACUGACAGUGGACCCCUUGGAAACAAAAAUCUGAAAUUAUAAAAGAAAAGUACCUAAAACCUGUAAAAUCCAUAUAAAAUUAAAUAUAGCUCAUUUUAAGAUGAUUCAAAUUUCUGUGAACUCACCAAAUUGUGAACUUUGAUGUUAUGGAAUAAAAACUUGCACUCACAGUACAAAUUUAGCCUCUAAAAUUUAUCCAAGUUAAAUCACACAUAAAGCAUGCACAAAUUUAUAAAAUGCAUACAAAAUUCAUUUCAACUCAUUUUAGAGCAAACUUAGUUUCUACAGAUCCACCAACAUGUUCUCUAAAAAUAAAGUAAAAUAAAACAUAUAAACACUUUACAUCAAAUGCCUCUAAAACUAUUAUCUUUAAAAUAACUAGUUUUGCAUAAGAUGAACUUUAGAAGUUUAUAUAAAAUUCAUCUUAGAUCCUUUUUGAGUAAACCCAAGUUCUGUAGAAUCACCAAAACAUAUACUUCCAAGUUAUAAAAUAAAGUUAUAUACUUACUGUAUGAUAAAAGCCUCUAAAUUCUUAUGUAAGUAAUAACCAUCAUAGAGCAACCUUAAAUUGUAAAAUUUGUAGAAAAUUCAUCUUUAGUCUAAAUGAAGUGAACCAAAUAU